GCGGGGGGCGGGCGGGCCGGCUUCCCUCCCAGGGCCCGGGUGGGCGGCGGGGCCCGCCGGUGCGGGGUCGGCCGAAGUACGGGGCGCUCUGCCCUGGUCCGCCGGCCGCGACCCCCUCAGACCCCGCCCGCGGCCUCGGACCUGCCGGGCUCGGCUCUUGGAGCCCCUGGGAGCUUGGCUGUCCUCACCCACCGCCCUGGGCAGAGGCUGUCCCUCAGCGAAUUCAUCUUUGUUGUGGUGGAAGUGGCGGACAUAACUAGCCUUUCCUUUCCUCACUGUCUGGGGACUGUGAACCUGAUUGAGGUGUUACCUUCACCUGUGCAUCCACCAUCUUCUUUCAGCUCCUCAGGGCAGCUGCAGGGCCUGCCCCUCACCUGCCCCUCACCUGCCCCCUUGCCAUCUCGGCCUCCCUGAGGUGGUUGGUUCGUAGUCUUUUGGUGCUUGUACUCCUUCUGCUCUCUGCAGCUUUCACAGUUUGCUGCUGUUCCCAAAUGGGUGCAUUUUAGGUCAGUUUUGGGACACGUUCCCAAAAUGGUGUCAGCAGGAUUAUGGCCGUGGCUGAGGAGACUGGCUGUUCUCUGUUGGCUGCCGCCUGAGCUGACUGAUGGCAGCAGCAGGAUGAGCCAUCCCUCAGCAGAUUUGCUUUCUGAAGUGAAAGCCUGUCUGGUUUAAAACCUCUGAUUCAUCAAGGGAAAAAACAAACAGGUCAGGCUCAAGGGCUCAGAAACACUCAAAUGCAGUAGAAGUUGCAUGAGCCUCAUUGCAGGAAUCAGUGAAAAGUGCUACUGGAUUCUUUAAAACUGUCUUGUAGGUGAUGGCUGCUGCCAUUGAGUCUGCAAGCUUUGAGGAGGAACAGCUUCCUAAUAAGAGAGAAAGUAUGAUCUGGAAGCCCAGAAAAGAAUGUUUGCUGAAGAACAUUCCAAAUGUCCUUGAUAGUGAGCCUGAAGAAAGUGAAUUCUCUGAUAUCUCUCAAAAUGAGAAUGAUGUUAGUGGCUCUCCUGUUGACUGUGUCCGUAUACAUUCUGACCUGGAAGACUUAGAUGAUGAUGUCUCCGGUAUGCCUGAGGCUGUAACUUUUCUAGAGCUGCAGACUGCUUCUGUGUACAAAAUAGAGGAGGACUGGGAUAAAGAACUGGAGGAAUCUGAAUGUAAUCCUUAUGAUGCUGGUGAUCUCUACUGUGGAAGCUUUCAGGAAAAUAAUCUUUUGACCUCAUACUCAUGGCGAGAGGAUUUGUUUUACAACCCCAGCUGUCACCAUGCAGCUUGCGUUGCUUUUACACCACCAGUUAGAAUGACUGAGCCUGGCCAGUUUGAUGAUGCUGAUGAAUGAGGUUGACCCUGGUCAGAACUAAGUUUGGCUUCUGAGUUGGAUUAUGUUCUUCACUGGUUGAAUCGUUUCAAGUCCUUUGGCUUGCUUGCAGACUUCUGCAUAAGGCCAGAAACGCUACACCAUCUCCCAAGUUUUGCUUAGACCACUACUGAGCUGCUUAUAAAUUGACCAUGUUUGACCUCUGGAAAUGAGAGUGCAGGUGCUAGCUGUAAGGAGUCAAUACAUUUCUGGACUUUUUGUUUCUAUUAUAUAGAUUUAUAUUGUUGCUAACGAAUUGCUUGAGAGGAAGUAUUUAACUUCUAAACUUCAGCUUGUUUGCCAAGCUUUGCCGGUUUUGACAUGCUGAUCCUUGUGUGUCUAUGUCAUUUUUAGUUUUCUUUCCUUUUCAUUUGAUGCUGUCAAAUUGGUUCACAAAGCUUUAAAAACUCUUCUUCCUUCCAGCUUCUCUGUUGUAUUUCUAUGUUGCAGUUUGUGAUUCCAGAUCUAAUACUGGUGUUUAACAAAAUUAGCCAUGACAAAUACGGAAUGAGUGGUUGUGUUUUCAUUUUAUGUUUCAGUAUAAGGGGAUUACAAAUACGUGAUACACAUUUUGCAAAUACAGACGUGGACAUACGCUAGGGCCUGCUGCAUCCAAUGACAACGCUGAGUGCUUAAAACUCUCUCCUAGCAAAGGUUUCUUCAUAUCUGACUUUCUUGUAUUUGGGCAUAGAAUCAUAGAAUCAUUGAGGUUGGAAGAGACCCUUGGGAUCAUCGAGUCCAACCAUCUCCCCUACUCUACAAAGUCCUCCCCUACACCAUGUCCCUCAGCACUGCAUCUAAAUGGCCCUUAAACACAGCCAGGGAUGGGGACUCCACCCCCUCCCUGGGCAGCCUGUUCCAAUGCCCGACCACUCUUUCAGUGAAAAAUUCCUUCCUAAUGUUCAAUCUAAACCUCCCCUGUUGGAGCUUGAAGCCGGCAUAUUAUCCUUCAGUCUCACAGUUGGCUUUGUAAUGUUCUCAU
RNAcentral lists this long non-coding RNA (2330 nucleotides) under Calidris pugnax (ruff). RNAcentral's name for it is "lncRNA (ENSCPUG00000001894.1)". The record is from RNAcentral. Lineage: Eukaryota; Metazoa; Chordata; Aves; Charadriiformes; Scolopacidae.